GGAGUACGGCCGCAAGGUUAAAACUCAAAUGAAUUGACGGGGGCCCGCACAAGCGGUGGAGCAUGUGGUUUAAUUCGAUGCAACGCGAAGAACCUUACCUGGUCUUGACAUCCACGGAAGUUUUCAGAGAUGAGAAUGUGCCUUCGGGAACCGUGAGACAGGUGCUGCAUGGCUGUCGUCAGCUCGUGUUGUGAAAUGUUGGGUUAAGUCCCGCAACGAGCGCAACCCUUAUCCUUUGUUGCCAGCG
This 247-nucleotide ribosomal RNA is filed under the name Salmonella enterica subsp. enterica serovar Anatum. RNAcentral describes it as "partial 16S ribosomal RNA". It matches the Rfam family "Bacterial small subunit ribosomal RNA", at positions 877 to 1123 of the family's 1533-position model. The record is from RNAcentral. Lineage: Bacteria; Pseudomonadati; Pseudomonadota; Gammaproteobacteria; Enterobacterales; Enterobacteriaceae.